GCCCCUGUAGCUCAACGGUCAGAGCGGGCGCCUUAUAAGCGCCUGAUCCUGGUUCGAUUCCAGGCAGGGGCA
This 72-nucleotide transfer RNA is filed under the name Limnochorda pilosa. It matches the Rfam family "tRNA". Rfam says of the family: Transfer RNA (tRNA) molecules are approximately 80 nucleotides in length. Lineage: Bacteria; Bacillati; Bacillota; Limnochordia; Limnochordales; Limnochordaceae. The record is from Rfam by way of RNAcentral.